GAUGAACGCUGGCGGCGUGCCUAAUACAUGCAAGUCGAGCGAACAGACGAGGAGCUUGCUCCUCGGACGUUAGCGGCGGACGGGUGAGUAACGCGUGGAUAACCUACCUAUAAGACUGGGAUAACUUCGGGAAACCGGAGCUAAUACCGGAUAAUAUAUUGAACCGCAUGGUUCAAUAGUGAAAGACGGUUUUGCUGUCACUUAUAGAUGGAUCCGCGCCGAAUUAGUUAGUUGGUAAGUUAACGGCUUACCAAGGCAACGAUGCUUUGCCGACCGGUGUGGCUCAUCGGCCACUCCGGACCGGAGACACGGGCCAUAUUCCUACGGGAGGCACCAGUACGGAAUCUGCCGCCAUGGGCGAAAGGUUGGCCGACGUAGGCGGCCUCCGUCAUGAUCCUCUGCGGCGCGUACAACCUUGUUAUUCGGCAGGAACAAAUUUUUAAGUAACUGUGCACGUCUUGACGGUACCUAGUCAGAAAGCCACGGCUAACUACGUG
Molecule: ribosomal RNA, 497 nt
Filed under: uncultured bacterium
Lineage: Bacteria
Description: partial 16S ribosomal RNA
Rfam family: Bacterial small subunit ribosomal RNA
Source: RNAcentral